RNAcentral lists this ribosomal RNA (253 nucleotides) under uncultured bacterium. RNAcentral's name for it is "partial 16S ribosomal RNA". It matches the Rfam family "Bacterial small subunit ribosomal RNA", at positions 524 to 776 of the family's 1533-position model. The record is from RNAcentral.
UACGUAGGGUGCGAGCGUUAAUCGGAAUUACUGGGCGUAAAGCGUGCGCAGGCGGUUUUGUAAGCCCGAUGUGAAAGCCCCGGGCUUAACCUGGGAAUGGCAUUUGGGACUGCAAGGCUGGAGUGUGGCAGAGGAGACUGGAAUUCCUGGUGUAGCAGUGAAAUGCGUAGAUAUCAGGAGGAAUACCGAUGGCGAAGGCAGCCCCCUGGGUCGAUACUGACGCUCAUGCACGAAAGCGUGGGGAGCAAACAGG